Molecule: ribosomal RNA, 253 nt
Filed under: uncultured bacterium
Lineage: Bacteria
Description: partial 16S ribosomal RNA
Rfam family: Bacterial small subunit ribosomal RNA
Source: RNAcentral
UACGGAGGGUGCAAACGUUGCUCGGAAUCAUUGGGCGUAAAGCGCACGUAGGCGGCCUGAUAAGUCGGGUGUGAAAGCCCUGGGCUCAACCCAGGAAGUGCACUCGAAACUGUCAGGCUUGAAUAUGGAAGAGGGUCGCGGAAUUCCCGGUGUAGAGGUGAAAUUCGUAGAUAUCGGGAGGAACACCAGUGGCGAAGGCGGCGACCUGGGCCAAUAUUGACGCUGAGGUGCGAAAGCCAGGGGAGCAAACGGG